RNAcentral lists this ribosomal RNA (492 nucleotides) under uncultured bacterium. RNAcentral's name for it is "partial 16S ribosomal RNA". It matches the Rfam family "Bacterial small subunit ribosomal RNA", at positions 29 to 507 of the family's 1533-position model. The record is from RNAcentral.
AGUGAACGCUGGCGGUAGGCCUAACACAUGCAAGUCGAACGGCAGCACAGUAAGAGCUUGCUCUUACGGGUGGCGAGUGGCGGACGGGUGAGGAAUACAUCGGAAUCUACUUUUUCGUGGGGGAUAACGUAGGUAAACUUACGCUAAUACCGCAUACGACCUACGGGUGAAAGCAGUGGAUCUUCUGACCUUGCGCGAUUGAAUGAGCCGAUGUCGGAUUAGCUAGUUGGCGGGGUAAAGGCCCACCAAGGCGACGAUCCGUAGCUGGUCUGAGAGGAUGAUCAGCCACACUGGAAGUGAGACACGGUCCAGAGUCCUAGGGGAGGGAGCAGUGGGGAAUAUUGGACAAUGGGGGGAAGCCUGGUCCAGCCAUACCAGGUGGGUGAAGAAGGCCUUCGGGUUGUAAAGACCUUUUGUUGGGAAAGAAAAGCAGCAGGUUAAUACCCAGCUGUUCUGACGGUACCCAAAGAAUAAGCACCGGCUAACUUCGUG